UCCAGGGCUUCCCUGGAACCCCCAAUUUGUGCUCCAGGGGUUCCCUGGAACCCCCAAUUUGUGCUCCGGGGGUUCCCUGGAACCCCCAAUUUGUGCUCCAGGGGGUCCCUGGAGCCCCGAUUUUCCAUCCCCCUCCUUGCCGGGAGGGGCCCAGGCUACCGGCUGCGCUGGAAAUUCAGAUUUUCCCUUCCCAUGUUGGGGCUGAUGGGCCGGUGCCGGUCCCCAAAUGCGGGGGGGGGGGGUCCCCAAAACCCAGGGGGACUGAGCUGCCAACGCAGGGGGCACCCCCAGGAGGAGCUGAUGGGGACCCCCAGACCCCUUCUCGCCCUGCCAGUGCCCCCCACACCGGUGGGGCUCCGGUGACACCCCCGUGGUGGCGGGGCCAGCGGUUCCCUGGCACGAGGGGACCCGGAGCCUGUGGAAUUGCAGCGUGUGGGACGCUCUGGGAUGGAGCUGCGGUGCCCCCCGGAAUUCCUGGGAUUCAAUCCUGCCGGGGCGGGCGGGCUGCUGCCGGCAUUGCUGGCAUUCAAUCCCACUGAAGGGCCGGAUUGGCCCGGGAUUGUCCCGGGAUUGGCCCGGGGCUCCCCGGCUCCCCUCGGCCUCUCCAGCCCCCGAGGGAUGCGCGGCUGCAGGAGGGGCAGGAAUUUGGGGGCACAGGCACCCCCGGCCGGUGAAUUCCAAGCACGGAGGAGCCCUGACUGGGGUGGGAAGGGACUCCUUAACCACCGGCCCAGCCAGUAGCGCCGAUCCCAAGCCCUGCGAGGAACCAGUUGGGAACCGGUCCUGCAGCGAGGAUGCAGAGCCCGGCUAUAAAGGGAGCGCCGGGACGGGCCCCCGGCACUCGGCUCCGGCUCUCGGCCAUGUGGGGUGGCUCCCGCGCCGUCUGGAAGAGGAGGUGCAGCUGCUGUGAAUGGUCCCUGGGAGUCGGCCGAGAGCUGCAUCGUGCGCACCUCCGCCAGCGUCUACCGGCGGCUGCAGGAGAGCCCGCGGGGAAUGAGCACCGGGGGACCCCCCCCGGCACCACCGCAGCCCCCCGGCAGCCCCCCGGCCGGCGGGAGGCUCCUCAAAUCCGAGUCCGAGGAUUCCGGCGUGGAGAUGGCCAGCAACGAGCACUCACCGUGUACCCCGCUGGGCUCCGAGAGCAGCUUCUGCCUGGAGGGUUUCCUGGGGGAGAAGCCCCCCGAGGAGGAGCCCCCCGGGAAGGAGGAGCCCCCCGGGAAGAAGGAGCCCCCCAGACCCGCCCGGAGCCGCUCGGCCGGCCGGAGGAUGCUGCAGGCAGGGCAGAGGAGCAGGAGGCAGCGCUGCCAGCGCAGCGCCAGCGCCGCCGAGCCCGCAGAGCCCCCCGGGGACCCCGAGGGGCUUCGGCCGCCUCGGGACCCCCAGACCGCGGUGCCAGGGCAGGGGCUGCGCUACCUGGAGCAGGUGUGCCAGCUGCUGGAGCGCCUGGCGAGGCUGCAGCAGGACAACCGCGCCCUGCGGCAGCGGGCGGCCGGAGCCCGCGGUGCCCGCAGCCUGCCCCCGAGGCAGGAUUCGGGCCCCUGGAGGGGUUCGGGGUUCCGGCCGCGCUCCUGCUCCGACAGCCAAGCGCCAGGUGAACUCGGGAGCGAUGGCACCGGGAGAUGCGGGCACGGCGGGACCUGGUGCCAGCUGAGGGGGCACGAUGCCCCCCAGCCCUUAAAUUUAACCAGCUCCGUUCCCCCCUUGCAGCAGCCGAGCCCGGGCCGUGCCGCAGGCUGGGGGGACACUCGCUCAGCUCCCCCAACCUGCUGGACCCCUCCGAGGGCGGGCCGGGGGUCCCGGUACCGGACACGGUAA
Molecule: long non-coding RNA, 1815 nt
Filed under: Taeniopygia guttata (zebra finch)
Lineage: Eukaryota; Metazoa; Chordata; Aves; Passeriformes; Estrildidae
Description: lncRNA (ENSTGUG00000024096.1)
Source: RNAcentral